Molecule: long non-coding RNA, 2050 nt
Organism: Gossypium arboreum
Lineage: Eukaryota; Viridiplantae; Streptophyta; Magnoliopsida; Malvales; Malvaceae
Exons: 2
Source: RefSeq, a predicted model, not a curated record
AAGCUAAACAAAAAAAAAUUGAAACGACUCAAUCUAUCUAGUCAACUGGCCACUGGCCUCCAUCAAACAUCAUUAAAGCGCAUUUAAUGCUCUGGCCAGAUAACAAGGGAAGAGAGCAGUUUCCAAAAAGAAAUCGCCCAAAACGUUUGUCUGCUAUCCUUUGCUUUCCAGAAAACUCUCCCCUUUCCAAAUCAUUCCGAGGUCCAUUGUCUUCUCCGCUCCUCCGCCUGUUGAACGUAGUUCGGAACGCCACCUACUAGUCAAGGAGUCGUCCUCGAUCGUCGCACAUUCUAGGCCCAACCAGGCCUAAUUGCAACGUCUAGACGCACACCUGAGCCUCCGUAACAAACGAAGAAGAAAUUGCUUUGUGGCAUAUGGUCAUAGAAGCCAAGAUUUCCCCUAAUGAGUUCCUUGCCACCACCUCGAAACCGGAUCUUUCCUGAUAGGGGUUAAAAGGCCCAUCGAAGUUGAUCUUAAUGAAUGGAUCGCAAGGGGGUUCCCACAUCUCAUGAACAAUCCUACGAGUAAGAGUUUUCUUUUCUAAACCAUCUAGUUCUCUUCAGUAAAUAAUGGUCCAGUUUGAUAUCUCCUUUCUCGACAUAUUUUUCCUUUCAUGCACAAGGCGAUUUCUACUUAUCCAGAGUGCCUAUAGAUCACAACAAAAAAGCCUACAUUGCUCACUGGUGGCAAUUCAAAAAACCUAGGUAAUCCAGUCCCAAGAGUUACUAUCCAAAUUAUUUAAUAUCCAUGAGAGAUUCAAACUGACCCAUGUCUUCAUUGUAAGAAGGCAGUCCCGAAAUGUAUGGAUAGAGUCGUCCACAGAAGUACAACACCUCGGACAUUGAGUAUUCACUGCUAUUCUUUUGUACCUUAGAUUAGCUAAAGUAGGCAUAUAAUUCCAUGAUAGCCUCCAAAUUGUAGUUUUUAUUUUCGGAGGUAUAUGUGAGUUCCAUAGCUUUUUGUAGAAGUUACUAGGAUCUGGUUGUAAAAUAUUAUCAAUAGGAAAUAUAUAUAUAAACGAACAUGUUUGCGAACAUAUAAACAAACAUGUUUGCGAUCGUUAAAUGAAUAUGUUCGCGAUCGCUAAAUGAAUUGAGCUCGAACACAAUAAAUAAUAUACGAACCGAGUUUGAUUAAAAAUUUAAACGAACACGAACCGAACACGAAUAACUUCAAAAAUAAACAAAUGAACACGAACAAGUCUUGUUCGUUUGAGUCCGAUUCAUUUACACCCCUAUUUAUGGAUAGGAGAGGACUUUGAAACUCGAUCCAACAAGGGUUCAAAUGUACUAAGAAAAGGGUUAUUAAAUUAAUACAAAGUGGAUGUGUUUGGUCGGAUAUGGAGGAUCAUAUUACGUGGUUAUAUGUUUCCCUAUAGGUCAUAACCACCUAGACCUACUUGAUGACCCUUUUUAACAAUUUAUGGGAUUCUUUAGGGGUCAGCUUUCAACUUCCUUAUUGUGUUUCGUCCAACACUUGUUCUGUGCUAUGUUUCCUCGAUGUAUUGGCAUUAAAGACUCACUCUUCGGUUGCUAAUUUCCUCGAACCCGACAUUUUUAAACUCAUCAACUGGUUCUGAACGGGGAAUCCUUCUACAUAUACAUUCAUAAGUUGCUUCACUAUGGCUACUAGGCAGUUAAAUGCAAUAUGUCUGAUUGAUCGUUGAAGUCAGAAACAGUGGAUGCAUGAUGUGUCAUCCAACUCUAGAUUUGUGGGAGCACAAAUGAAGAUCAGAUCUAAUUAAACACGACUUUAUUGAGCAAGAUAAGUAAAAAUGUCCCCUAUAAUGUUGCACAGCUUAAUAAGAAGUAUAAGAAAGAACAAUGGAAUAAUCACCUUACAAAUUACCCAUGACAGAUAGAUAUGAGCCUCUUCCUUUUAACAAGCCAAAAUAACGAGUAUACUAUAUCAGUCCAACGACUCAUACAACCUUUAAAGGUACACAUAGGCUAUGGUUCUACUUCUCCCACUGCCUGAAGACUUGCUUUCUUCUCCAUGUCUUGUAUGGUUUCGCCAUUCAAGCCCUUAAGUUCCUUCUCUCCAGACUCGG